Molecule: non-coding RNA, 135 nt
Organism: Apodospora peruviana
Lineage: Eukaryota; Fungi; Ascomycota; Sordariomycetes; Sordariales; Lasiosphaeriaceae
Source: the annotation of a GenBank genome assembly
GGUUGCGUGGCCCAGUGGUUAAGGCAUCUGCUUUACAGCACCGCGUCGAUGAAGGUCGAAAACCCGAAAGGUCUCCACCGGUUUCACGCGGGUACGUAUCGCAGAGGAUCGCAGGUUCGAGCCCUGCCGCGAUCA